RNAcentral lists this ribosomal RNA (273 nucleotides) under Salmonella enterica subsp. diarizonae. RNAcentral describes it as "partial 23S ribosomal RNA". It matches the Rfam family "Bacterial large subunit ribosomal RNA", at positions 1489 to 1757 of the family's 2925-position model. The record is from RNAcentral. Lineage: Bacteria; Pseudomonadati; Pseudomonadota; Gammaproteobacteria; Enterobacterales; Enterobacteriaceae.
GGCCGGGCGACGGUAGUCCCGGUUUAAGCGUGUAGGUGUGUGUUCCAGGUAAAUCCGGUUCACUUUAACACUGAGGCGUGAUGACGAGGCACCACGGUGCUGAAGCAACAAAUGCCCUGCUUCCAGGAAAAGCCUCUAAGCAUCAGGUAACAUCAAAUCGUACCCCAAACCGACACAGGUGGUCAGGUAGAGAAUACCAAGGCGCUUGAGAGAACUCGGGUGAAGGAACUAGGCAAAAUGGUGCCGUAACUUCGGGAGAAGGCACGCUGACAC